GCACUGUUGACGAGUCCCAAACAGGACGAAGCAGCUGUCCCGGUGC
Molecule: non-coding RNA, 46 nt
Organism: Echinostoma caproni
Lineage: Eukaryota; Metazoa; Platyhelminthes; Trematoda; Plagiorchiida; Echinostomatidae
Source: Rfam